AACCCUCAGAUUGGGGAUUUCCUGCCGGAGGAAGCUUUUUGGAGGAGCUGCCUUUGGGAGGAACUCUUCCAGUUCUGAGGGUUU
RNAcentral lists this microRNA precursor (84 nucleotides) under Oryza sativa (Asian cultivated rice). RNAcentral describes it as "miR6246 stem-loop (osa-MIR6246)". Lineage: Eukaryota; Viridiplantae; Streptophyta; Magnoliopsida; Poales; Poaceae. The record is from miRBase by way of RNAcentral.